CAGUACAUGACUUUCUCUUCCUAAUAGCACCUCUGUUUCCUUUGGGAGACUUACUCUUCUUCCCUGUGUGUCAUCUCGGGAGGCCAGUAAUUGAGCUGCCCUCUCCUCUUGCUAAGGAAGCUGAGAGGGCUUUGAAAGCUCCUUGCGAUAGACCCCUGCUCACUGUUGGAGCAAAGAGAAAAACAUGUCAUCUUAUCUGAGCUGAUUGAAUCUCUUGUCCACAAUUUGGAUCCUCAGUAGAGAUCCCCUGUUGAAGGAACAACAGGAGGAGAAUCAAUCCUCUAGGAAUGGCUAGGAGACAAUGCUCCAGAAGAAGCCUCCUAAUUGUGCUUUGUGAAAAUGUUAAUAAUGAAACUCUCUUUGGGUGGAAAGAACUUUAGAAGAACUCACGAAGACCCUGAAACCUGUCGGCAGAUGUUUCCAAGGCUUUUGUCUCCAUCCUACUCCAAUCUCCCAAUUUAUCCCCCUCCCUUUGAGAUUUCAUUUUAUAGGAGUAUAGCUCUAACUUUGUAUCUAAUUUUUACUCAAUUAUACUGGAUUAUAGUUUCUUUUUAGUUUACCUUGUUAUGAUUAAAUAUAUUCAAUUUGUGGUGUUUUUUUGGAAAAGGUUUUGACUAAAGAUAAGGAGGAGAAAUUCCUUAAAAAUUAAAUAUGUGAAACAGUUAUUAUAACUGGGAUGUAUCCAUCUGUAAACAAAACCCCCCAAAAUAAACAAAAACUGAAUGACUGGG
This 731-nucleotide long non-coding RNA is filed under the name Capra hircus (goat). RNAcentral describes it as "lncRNA (ENSCHIG00000002651.1)". Lineage: Eukaryota; Metazoa; Chordata; Mammalia; Artiodactyla; Bovidae. The record is from RNAcentral.